RNAcentral lists this long non-coding RNA (3412 nucleotides) under Homo sapiens (human). Its description in RNAcentral is "HSALNT0081434". Lineage: Eukaryota; Metazoa; Chordata; Mammalia; Primates; Hominidae. The record is from RNAcentral.
ACCCAGUAAUGGGAAUUCUGAGUCAAAUGGUGUUUCUGUUUUAGGUUAGGUCUUUGAAGUAAUCGCCACACUGUUUCUCAUAAUGGUUAAACUAAUUUAUAAUCCCACCAACAGUGUAUAACCGUUCUUUUUUCUCCACAACCUCACCGGCAUCUGUUAUUUUUUGACUUUUUAGUAAUAGUCAUUCUAACUGCUGUGAGAUGGUAUCUGAUUGUGGUUUUGAUUUGCAUUUCUCUAAUAAUCAGUGAUGUUGAGCUUUUUAUAUAUGCUUGUUGGUGGCAUGUAUGUCUUCCUUUGUAAAAUGUCUGUUCAUGUUCUUUGUUCACUUUUUAAUGGGAAACAUCCUUCAAGAGAACGGAGUCUGCCCAUAAGAGCAUGGAGCCAAAAUACAGACAGAGACCCCAGAGAGAUCCUGUGCCCCUUCGUCCAUGUGAGAACAGAGUGAGAAGAAGGCCAUCUGUGAGGAAUUGGGUCCUCACCAGACCCAAUCUGCCUGAGCCGUGACCUUACACCGAAUCUGCCUGAGCCGUGACCUUACACUUUCCAGCCUCCAGAACUUUGAUGAAAAUGUGCUGAAAUUGGAAUCCUCAAACAUUGCUGGUGAAAAUGCAAAAUACAGCUGCUAUGGAAAGUAGUUUGUUGGUGUCUCAAAAAGCUGAACAUAAAAUUAUUAUAUGAGCCAGUGAUUUCACUCUUAGGUAUAUUCUCAAAAGAAUUAAAAACGACCAUGCAAACAAAUACUUGUGCAUGAAUGUUCAUUGCAGCAGUAUUCACAGUAGCCAAAAGGUGGAAACAUAACAAGUGUUCAUCAGAAGAUAAUAAAUAAAUGAAAUAGAAUGGAUUCAUACAAAUAUUAUUCAGUCAUUAAAAAUGAAUAAAGUAGUUAUAUAUGCUGUAACUAGGGGAACCUCAAAAGCAUUAUCUAAGUGAAAAAAGCCAGAUACAACAAUCAUGUAUUAUAUAAUUCCAUUCAUAUGCAGCUUCUAGAAUAGAUAAAUACAUGGAGACUGAAAGCAGACUAGUGGUUAUUGGGGCUUGGAGAAGGGGGAUGGGAUUGAUUGCCUAAUGAGUAUGGGAUUUCUUUUAGAAUGAUGUAAACACCUUAGAACUAAAUAGGGGAGAUGGUUGCACAACAUUGUAAAUGGACUUAAUACCACUGAAUUGUACACUUUAAAAAGGUUAAUGGUUAAAUUGAUGUUAUAUGAAUUUUAUCUCAAUUUAAAAUUUAAAUAUUAUAAAAUUUUGUAAAAUGUCUUAAAAUUCUUUCCUUCUAACUACAGUACUAUCUUUGGGUAUCCAGUGAGAUCUGCUUGUGCUUCCACUCUUCACUGAUGAUAUCUUUUUCAUCGUAUGUAAGACUUUCAUUUAUUUAGCCACCUUUCAUACCAUUUCUCUGUUUCCAGCAAGAAAUGUCUCAUUCUUUUCCAAAGUUACAGUUUUUACAUAUGUUGGCUUCGUAACCCCUUCCAGGUCCUGCUUCAUCAAUUAAACCUACUCUUCCUCUUUUCUGUAUACCUGCCAUCCAUAUUUUGUCCUUUCUUCUGGAUCUACACAUUUAACUUGAUUGAUUUAAUAUUGGUAACUUCCUUUACCUUCAUUCCAUAUGAAAACAUCUACCCUUCUUUCUUUAAAUCUUAACAGCACUUAUUCUGAAUGAGGGAGAUGAAAUACAGCUAAGGCACUAGGAUUGUCUAUUGCAUUCGAGAAAGGGUGAGCAAAAUAUAGCCUGUGGGCCAAAUAUGGCCCAACAUCUACUUUGUAAUUAACAUUUUUGGGAACAAGUCACACUUAUUCACUUAUAUAUUGUCUGUAGUUAGUCGUAUUACAAUGGCAGUGUUGAGUAGUGGACACAGACACAAUAUUGCCCACAAAACCUAAAAUAUUUACUAUUUGGCCCUUAUAGGAAAAAUAAUUCAGGUUCCUAUAUUGAAAUAUCAAUAGAUUUCAGAAUUCUAUGUUAGAGUAGCAAUAGGUAUUUUAAGAGAGAAAUCUCCAAAUCUCUGAAUUUACAUGAUAGAAGUGUAUUCUCACCUAAAUUCUAAGAAAUAGCAAUAUGGAUUCAGGAAACAAGCUUGCAGAUGCCUUCCAAAAGUGCCUGGACUUUAACUGGCACGUGGUCAAAAAAAAAAGUGAAUAAUUACAUAGAACUUUUCCUAUUUUUCUUUCUUCUUUAAUAGAAUAUACCUGUAAUUAUUAUAUAUUGCUUCCACCAAUGCCACCUUCUUUUUAUACUUCUACAACUGCUCAAUCAUGCCUCUUCAGGGGUGCAGGCUACUAGUAACUUCUUGGAAGUUUUCUCUCCUUAGAGACCUUUCCUCCCAGUUCCAGAGAUACCUGCAGCAGGCUUUGAAAAUCCUCCUGGAGCUCUGGAUCUUAGCUCUGGAGGGGCCUCUUCAAACUGUUUGGAUUCAGACAAUAUCAAUUCCUGGUGUUUCCUGGAUCUGGCUAAAAUGACAACAGUGACAUAAUGCCAAGUUCUGCUGAAAGAGGCUGGGAAGUUCAGGAUCAACUUGCCAGCAGGUUUGUUUUCUAAUGAGGAUCCAAUCUCUACUUCCAAGAUGGCACUUUCAUCCAGAAUGAAGGUAGAGGAACACUGUUCUCACAUGGCAGAAGGUAAAAUGGCAAAAAGGGACAAUCUCCCUCUGUCAAGUCCUCUGAUUAGGUGACCUAAUCCCAUUCAUGAUGGAAGUGCCCUCAUGGUUCAAUCACUUCAAAAUGCCACAUCUCUCAAUGCUGUUGCAUUGGCAAUUAAGUGUCAACAUGAAUUUUGCAGGGGACAAAAACAUUCAAACCAUAGAAAUUGCUUGGAAAUUAUAUAUUUAUAUAUAACCAAGGAAUAGAAAAAUACAGAGUCAAGGAGUUUAACACAGGGUAGUCAUAGCAAUAUACAGUUAAUUUCUCUUUCUGAAUAGGGUCAUUAGAGUAUAUUCAUUCUCACAUGUUGUGCUUGUAAUGUGAUGUUGAUACUGUUACUGUUGACUGGAAGAGUCCAUUCCUCUUGAACUUCACUAAAUUAUUGUGUCUGCUUCUCUCAGUAGCACAUGCCAAGAGUAAAACUAUUUGUCUUCUAAAUCCAAGUAUAAAAAAGUUAUGAACUUCUCCUUUGUUAUUUUUGGGAUGCUUUCUCUGGAAUGCAGCCAUCAUGCUUUGAGGAAGACAUGUACCUACAUGAAGAGGUCCUAUGUAGCCGUUCCAACUAGUAGACCUAGCUGAGGUCUCAGACUACAGCCUGUAUCCACCAACAGGUACAUGAGAGAGCAAGCCUUCAUGUUAUAACAGCCUCCCCCUGUUUAGUUUUAUAAAAUAAAUCAUAAUAAUCAUAUAUUUUGACUCAUCACUGAAUAUUAUCGUAAUGAGAAUAACUACUGACUGCUAAUUUAAUGUUAAAAAUCCAUACAUUUAUUGGAUUGGU